GAGGAGGUGAGGUAGGGGCAGGGGCAGGGGCAGGGGCAGGGGCAGGGGGAGGGGGAGUGAGGGGCUGUGAGGGGCACUGUGAGGAGCUGUGAGGCAGCUCCCCGCCGCCCGGAAAGUCUGGUUUUGUUCUUCUUAUUAUUUUUUUUUAAGUAACAAGCCUUUUGGUGGCACGGAGCAUGGCCGCGGCUGGCAGGAGGCGGCUGCAGCGCUGUCUCCUUCCCUUGCGAUGCGCCUCAAAGGCGGGGGCCGGGCGGGAUCUGGCUUUGAAGUAUACAAGCCGUGGCUAUGCAUCACAGCGUACUUUAAAUGUAAGUAUAAAGUACCAUCUGAGCACAGUAAAUCCCUGCUAUAUUUGCUUCUUAACCUCUGAAGUUCAGAAAGUUAUCACAAGAAACCUGCGUUGUUGACAGCGUGUCUCUUGCCCAAGUCACGUUACUGCAAAAAUUGGAAUAAAGGUCAAAUUUCCCAAUUUUUUUUUGCUUUG
This 484-nucleotide long non-coding RNA is filed under the name Anas platyrhynchos platyrhynchos (common mallard). RNAcentral describes it as "lncRNA (ENSAPLG00000027402.1)". The record is from RNAcentral. Lineage: Eukaryota; Metazoa; Chordata; Aves; Anseriformes; Anatidae.